ACCAGUGUGUGUUCCGAGACUGCUCAGGAGCUAGCAGAGGGCCAGAGAAGAGGAUCCCAGGGUGACAGUAAACAGCAAAAUGGUCCACCAAGAAAACACAUUGUGGAGCGCAAUACGGAGUUUUAUCACAUACCCACUCACAGUGAUGCCAGCAAGAAGAGGCUGAUGGAGGAUACCGAAGACUGGCAUCCGAGGACUGGAACAACUCAGUCUCGCUCUUUCCACAUCCUUGCCCAGAUCACUGCGACUGAACAUCUGCAAGAAUCUGAAUCUGAUAAUACAAAGAAGGCAAAUAGUAUUCAGGAGCCUUCUCAACAGUUGGCUUCAUCUGCAGCGUUGCCUCGGAGUGGGCUAGAGAGCGUGGAAAGCACCGGUGCCAGCAGACCUGGGGGAGCCAGCCUCACGGCAGCUGCAGCCUUCAAACCAACAGGCUCCACCAGUACAAUCAAGUCUCCGAGCUGGCAGCGGCCCAGCCAAGCAGCACCUUCUACUGGAAAAAUAUCAAACAGUGCAACUUUCUCAGGAGCGGGGGCCCCAGUUAGCUCAGCUGUGGGGCAGCCUCAGCCAGGUGAACAAGAUACUUUAGUGCAAAGAGCAGAGCACAUCCCAGCGGGGAAACGAACUCCCAUGUGUGCCCACUGUAACCAGGUCAUCAGGGGACCAUUUCUAGUGGCACUAGGGAAAUCAUGGCACCCAGAAGAAUUUAAUUGUGUUCAUUGCAAAAAUACAAUGGCCUACAUUGGAUUUGUAGAGGAGAAGGGGGCGCUGUAUUGUGAGCUGUGCUAUGAGAAAUUCUUGGCCCCUGAAUGUGGUCGAUGCCAAAGGAAGAUCCUUGGAGAAGUCAUCAAUGCUUUGAAACAAACUUGGCAUGUUUCUUGUUUUGUGUCUGUGGCCUGUGGAAAACCCAUUCGUAAUAAUGUUUUCCACUUAGAGGAUGGUGAACCCUACUGUGAGACCGAUUAUUAUGCUCUUUUUGGCACUAUCUGUCGUGGGUGUGAAUUCCCCAUAGAAGCUGGUGACACGUUUCUGGAAGCUCUCGGCUAUACCUGGCACGACACUUGCUUUGUGUGCUCAGUAUGUUGUGAAAGUUUGGAAGGACAGACCUUUUUCUCCAAGAAAGACAAGCCAUUUUGCAAGAAGCAUGCUCAUUCUGUGAAUUUUUGAGUCAACAGAUAGAGAAAGAGAAGAAAUUGGAAGAAAAAAAGGAAAUUUUAAAUUACCAAUCAAUUUUUAGAUAUAGUAUUUCAAGAAGUUUUGAAAAGUAAUAGUAGCCCUGAAGGGAUAAAUUCCAACAUUAAGAAUCAAGUUUAUGAUGAAAUAUUUGGCUUCAGAGAGAAAAGGGACAGUUUGGCAUUUAUUACUUUGUCCUGUAUUUUCUGCCCAUAAAAUAACUUUUA
RNA transcript from Octodon degus (degu), 1397 nucleotides. It is a transcript of the gene named PDZ and LIM domain protein 5 pseudogene, with no coding region annotated. The transcript is spliced from 2 exons. Lineage: Eukaryota; Metazoa; Chordata; Mammalia; Rodentia; Octodontidae. The record is from RefSeq and is a predicted model, not a curated record.